GGGCGUAAGGGCUCGCAGGCGGUUUCUUAAGUCUGAUGUGAAAGCCCUCGGCUCAACCGGGGAGGGUCAUUGGAAACUGGGGAACUUGAGUGCAGAAGAGGAGAGUGGAAUUCCACGUGUAGCGGUGAAAUGCGUAGAGAUGUGGAGGAACACCAGUGGCGAAGGCGACUCUCUGGUCUGUAACUGACGCUGAGGAGCGAAAGCGUGGGGAGCGAACAGGAUUAGAUACCCUGGUAGUCCACGCCGUAAACGAUGAGUGCUAAGUGUUAUGGGGUUUCCGCCCCUUAUUGCUGCU
This 295-nucleotide ribosomal RNA is filed under the name Bacillus subtilis. Its description in RNAcentral is "partial 16S ribosomal RNA". It matches the Rfam family "Bacterial small subunit ribosomal RNA", at positions 556 to 850 of the family's 1533-position model. Lineage: Bacteria; Bacillati; Bacillota; Bacilli; Caryophanales; Bacillaceae. The record is from RNAcentral.